This 281-nucleotide long non-coding RNA is filed under the name Homo sapiens (human). RNAcentral describes it as "non-protein coding lnc-SLC16A9-1:6". The record is from RNAcentral. Lineage: Eukaryota; Metazoa; Chordata; Mammalia; Primates; Hominidae.
AAUCCAUUUAACCCUUAGUGGACACAGAACAUGUUUCAGAGAGCACGGAGUUGGGGGCUGGAGUGCAGUGGCACCAUCUCGGCUUACCGCAACCUCCGCCUCCUGGGUUCAAACAAUACUCCUACCUUGGCCUCCUGAGUAGCUGGGAUUACAGGAAUCAAGGUUGCUAAGAGACCACCUGUGCUGAAUACACUUUGUUCUGGCAAGAGCAGAAAACUGAGAAGCCGUGUUACCUACCACUACCUGGGAUUAAUUCAGGGAGCGGGAUAAUUCUGGAUAUG